AUCAACAAGCGGGGGAGCUCCUAGUCCGGGGCUGAGAGGAGGGCGGAAGCCCUCGACCCUUUGAACCUGAUCCGGGUAAUGCCGGCGCAGGGAAGCUUGAAACACAGUAAC
RNAcentral lists this non-coding RNA (111 nucleotides) under Pseudothermotoga thermarum. RNAcentral describes it as "TPP sequence". It matches the Rfam family "TPP riboswitch aptamer (THI element)". From Rfam's summary of the family: Vitamin B(1) in its active form thiamin pyrophosphate (TPP) is an essential coenzyme that is synthesised by coupling of pyrimidine and thiazole moieties in bacteria. The previously detected thiamin-regulatory element, thi box was extended, resulting in a new, highly conserved RNA secondary structure, the THI element, which is widely distributed in eubacteria and also occurs in some archaea. Analysis of operon structures identified a large number of new candidate thiamin-regulated genes, mostly transporters, in various prokaryotic organisms. RNAcentral also lists the same sequence under 1 other name. The record is from RNAcentral. Lineage: Bacteria; Thermotogati; Thermotogota; Thermotogae; Thermotogales; Thermotogaceae.